RNAcentral lists this ribosomal RNA (484 nucleotides) under uncultured bacterium. RNAcentral's name for it is "bacterial SSU rRNA". It matches the Rfam family "Bacterial small subunit ribosomal RNA", at positions 29 to 502 of the family's 1533-position model. The record is from RNAcentral.
AACGAACGCUGGCGGCAUGCCUAACACAUGCAAGUCGAACGGCAGCACGGGAGCUUGCUCCUGGUGGCGAGUGGCGGACGGGUGAGUAAUGCAUAGGAAUCUGCCCCAGUAGCGGGGGACAACUUGGGGAAACUCAAGCUAAUACCGCAUGCGCCCUACGGGGGAAAGCGGGGGACCUUCGGGCCUCGCACUAUUGGAUGAGCCUAUGUCAGAUUAGCUUGUUGGUGGGGUAACGGCCUACCAAGGCGACGAUCUGUAGCUGGUCUGAGAGGACGAUCAGCCACACUGGGACUGAGACACGGCCCAGACUCCUACGGGAGGCAGCAGUGGGGAAUAUUGCACAAUGGGCGAAAGCCUGAUGCAGCAAUGCCGCGUGUGUGAAGAAGGCCUGCGGGGUUGUAAAGCACUUUCAGUAGGGAGGAAACAGUAGCCGGUUAAUAUCCGGUUGCCUUGACGUUACCUACAGAAGAAGCACCGGCUAACU